UAGAAUGGAUGCAGGCCUC
This 19-nucleotide non-coding RNA is filed under the name Mus musculus (house mouse). The record is from RNAcentral. Lineage: Eukaryota; Metazoa; Chordata; Mammalia; Rodentia; Muridae.